Molecule: long non-coding RNA, 590 nt
Organism: Hylaeus volcanicus
Lineage: Eukaryota; Metazoa; Arthropoda; Insecta; Hymenoptera; Colletidae
Exons: 3
Source: RefSeq, a predicted model, not a curated record
AUCCUGGAAUUCGUCGCGCGCAGCCGAUGCGCGCUACCUUUGCCCUUAGACAUUCGUUAUUUUCAGCAUAGAUUGCGUUUGAUCUUUUCUUCAAUGGAAACGUGUUACUUGGAGAUUUAGAAAUUUCUCGGUGGUCAAAGAAAAGACUGAAUGCUAAAACCACGUGGAACUAGAAUCUAAGUUAUAACAGUCUGAUCUUCGUCGUGGUAUAUAUUGAUGUGUCAGAGAGACGCACUUCGAGUACAACGCCAAGCUUUGUCAGAGCCUCUGAGGAGUAGUUCAAAUCUACACUUAUAAAGAGGAAGCACACAUCACCUAUCGACGCGGAGUGGUUUUCGACGAAUCGAAUAGGAAGCGCGUAACAGCUGGCCAGAAGGCAGGAGUCAACGUCCGCGGGGUCGUAGUUUUCGAAAGCAGCAACGAUCCGAUCGAUGUUUUUGUAAUCGCACGCAUGGCCAGGCAUGUACGUAUAAUACAUGUUACUCGCACGAUAGACUCUCGAGGCUGGGAAGUUGCGUACUCGACGUGUUCCUUGACGUGUUCCUCGGCGCGAUGAGGAGGAACGCAAAACUGGUGGAAGGGCCGUGCAA